RNAcentral lists this ribosomal RNA (375 nucleotides) under uncultured bacterium. RNAcentral describes it as "bacterial SSU rRNA". It matches the Rfam family "Bacterial small subunit ribosomal RNA", at positions 521 to 895 of the family's 1533-position model. The record is from RNAcentral.
UAAUACGUAGGGUGCGAGCGUUAAUCGGAAUUACUGGGCGUAAAGCGUGCGCAGGCGGUUUUGUAAGCCAGAUGUGAAAUCCCCGGGCUCAACCUGGGAAUGGCAUUUGGGACUGCAAGGCUGGAGUGUGGCAGAGGAGACUGGAAUUCCUGGUGUAGCAGUGAAAUGCGUAGAUAUCAGGAGGAAUACCGAUGGCGAAGGCAGGUCUCUGGGCUAACACUGACGCUCAUGCACGAAAGCGUGGGGAGCAAACAGGAUUAGAUACCCUGGUAGUCCACGCCCUAAACGAUGUCGACUGGUUGUUGGGGGUUUGACACUCUCAGUAACGAAGCUAACGCGUGAAGUCGACCGCCUGGGGAGUACGGCCGCAAGGUU